AUGAAAGCCAACACUUCCAGGAGGUCUUCGUACACUAAUGUGCUUAAGAAGCAAACUUUUUGUUGCAACAAGUCAGGGAAGCCAAUCUAUGAUUAUGCCCACACACCCGUGUUUGAGAAACUAACCUCAGAUUCUGAUGACCGUGGCGAUGGACAAGAUGUUGGGAGUAAGCAAGAGGGUGUAGCUCUUAUAAAUCUUCAGGGGGGGCUUGUUAAGAAGAGGAGAAGAGAGUUUAUCGAACAGACUGAUUGUCGAGCAAAAAUGACAGUCAAGCUGACUAAUAACAAGUGGGUGGUCACAUGUGUUGUUGCAGACCACAAUCAUAGACUAAUUGACAAGCCAUCUCUCACUAAAUACCUCCGCUCUCACCAAGGCAUCCCGCUGGAAGAGGUUGAGUUCUUGGAAAUAUUGCAUAGGUGCAACAUGGAAACAUGUCGCAUGAUGACUGUUAUGUCUGAAUUCUAUGGCCAAGCUGUAAUUGUGCCGUACACAACGAAAACGAUAAGCAACAUGAGAACUAGCUUUCGCAGUGCUGAGGCAAAUGAAGGCGAUUUGGCUGAGACAGUUGCCUACUUCGAGCAAAAGCAGGAAGAAGACCCAGGCUUCUUCUUCAAAAUCAAAAAGGAUGGAAUAGGCAGAGCUGAGAAUUUGUUUGGGGUUGAUGGGAGGGAUCGAGAGACCUACAUAAAAGCUUACAAUGAUUGUAUCUCUUUUGACACGACCUACUUGAAAAAUAUGUAUAACAUACUCUUUGCUCCAUUUAUUGGGAUGAACAGGCAUGGGCAGUCUUUCAUGUUGGGGUGUGGCUUCUUGCGGCAAGAGCUUGAGACCAGCCUUGAUUGGUUGUUUGGGGCCUUUCUUGAAGCGAUGCAUGGCAUUGCACCGCUCAACAUCAUAACUGACCAAGAUCAGGCGAUGAAAAAAUCUAUAGCAAACAUUUUCCCAUGCGCAGUUCACCGUAGUUGCUGCUGGCAUAUCAUUAAGAAAGCCCAAGAGAAGUUGGGUGCUUACUUGGCUAGGCAUCCUGAGCUAGCUAAAGAAUUAAAUGAGGUGAUAGACUUGAGCAUGACUCCUGAGGAGUUUGAGGCAAGGUGGGCUGCUAUGGUUGAGAAGCGUGGUAUUGCUGGCGAUAAACGCUUUGAUGAUCUCUAUGCGAUUAAGCAUCUUUGGGUCCCUUGCUACUUUAGGAAUUGUUUCUUCCCAUUCCUCCAGUCGACUCAGCGUAGUGAAGGCUUCAAUGCCGUCCUAAAAAGGUACGUGAACCCGCAAAAUUCUGUGGUCAACUUUGUGAAGCAAUAUGAGAAGAUAAAUGACAAGAUCUUGGUGAAAGAAGGGGGUAAUGAUUACCAAACAAAUGAGCCUGAGCCAAGGCUUUGGUCCCUGUUCCCAAUUGAGAAGCAAGCCUUGCGAGUUUACACAAGGGAUAUAUACUACAGGUUUCAACAUGAGUUUUCUUUGAUUGACAUGUAUAAUGUUAGGCCUCAAGGCGCCAACAUGUACGUACUUGAGCCUAACGGAAUUUAUGCAGGGAUUUAUGGGCGUAGACUGUACAUGGUAACAACGCAGGUUGAUCGGCAAGAGUACGGUUGUGAGUGUUGCAAGUUUUACAGGGAUGGGCUGUUUUGUGUCCACAUCUUGAAAGUGUUCACCCACCUUGGUGUUGAUGAGAUCCCUGAGCGUUACAUACUGCCUAGAUGGACUCAGAAUGCAUUUCUUACUGAUUUGCCCCCUGACACACAAGUCCCUAAUGCCAUGCCUCAAGAGUCGCUGCAGCAAAUAAGGCACGUUUCCCUGAAUACUAUGUUUGGCAAAAUCUCUAAAUUGGGCAGUAUGUCCGAUGCAGGAGCAGCUUUGUGCAAGUCCGGUGGGCACGCGUUGGAGACUGAACUGAACCAACUUUAUAAAUCAAGGAGGAAGAAGAAGCAAGCGGCGCCAGCCCAGCCACCAGCCCAAUCUGCCCCCACGGAAGCUUCUAUUGGAGAGCCUAAAGCAAAUCCUUUGCGUAACCCCCCAAAAUCUUCUACUAAGGGACGCAAGAGAGACAAGAGGUACUAUUCGGGCAUUGAGUUACAUCCGAAGAAGAAGAAAAAAUGUGCAUACUACAAAGAGUUAGGGCACAAUUGUGCCACUUGCACGCCUGGUCUAAACUGA
This 2151-nucleotide ribosomal RNA is filed under the name Triticum aestivum (bread wheat). RNAcentral describes it as "partial small subunit ribosomal RNA". The record is from RNAcentral. Lineage: Eukaryota; Viridiplantae; Streptophyta; Magnoliopsida; Poales; Poaceae.